ACAGGGUUGAGAAUAAUGAUGCGGAGAUGGUGCUGAAACAACAGUCAGAGCAUCUUAUCUAUUCACUGUUGUCCAAUGAAAACUAUUGAGGUCACUGGGAUGCCCCCUGGUCAUCAAGGACGUUAUUGACCAUCAUUCACCUCUAGAGGAUUGUGUCCAGUUUGAUUUCAGUAAUGUCACACCUAUAUGUCCUCUCCUCUUUUCGCUGAUGCAGGAUACCACAAGUGGCCGGUCUGUCCUUUUCUCCAAUCUCCUCCCCAUCCUCCUAACCUGGCCAGAGCAUCAGCACCUUGGCUUUAGACUGCUUACUGCUUAUACAGUGUCACAGUACAGUAACAGUCUACAGUCAUGGCUACUGAAGCCUGGCAAUGCACCGGACACCGCGCUGGAGCGAUGUCAACCUGAAGAAAAGAAAGAAGCACCAUGAAAGGAAACCUGUGUGGGCUUGCAUUGGGGGAGUCCUACACUGUCGAAGUGCGUAAUACCCACGCGCAAACCAAUGAGACCUUGCAGCUUCCAGUUUCCAGUUACCAUGCCGACUCCGGCUCCUCCUCCUCCACCCUGCUGUCUCCAUGGCGACCGUGGCUUUAGAUUGUUACUCUAGCAACAGGAACAUGGUAACAGUCUACAGCCAUGGUCGUUAGGGACAGCUGCCGCGAGGAAAGGAGAGAGAAGACUGGAAAAGUUUCGUUGUAGCUAAUGGUUAAGUUUGUUUCUGAUGUAGCUCCUGUCAUUUAGAAAGUAGGUCAGAGGUCGUUCAGUCAUCCUUGUACUCUGCUGUCCCGAGUUUUUCAGUUUGACUUUUGUUAUCGCUGUUAGUUUCUGUGCAAGUCCUUCGAAAGUCCUUUAAUGUUGUAAUUCUUUUUGUUCUGAUGUAACUUUAUGUGACAAAAUACCCAUGAUGCAAUCUACCUGUUUCCCCCGAGGGCAGCUUAACAACCAAGCACGCAAUGACACAUAAUGACACAUAUUGUUUCAUCUGUAUUUUUAUUGGAUAUAAUGAGUUUCUUUACGGCUCGACCCCCGGGUACAGUCAUAAAAUCAGCGAGCACGGAUGCUGAACGGAUGAGUCAGCCGGCUCCAACACCUGUUCCGACCUCUUGUUUAUCAGACAAGAGCAGCCUCACUUCAAAGCAGCACAGCCGGGAAAUCCCAGUGGGCCGCGCAGUGACCUGCUGGCAGACAUAAACCAUACACUGGGUCUACACAGGUGGGCUAACCCACACGCAGACACGCACACAUGCAGCUUGCUCGCAAAAAAACUGACACUCACAAAGAGUAGAGUAUAGUCCUUGAGCCACUCCACCUCAAGUUCCACUGAUAUCCAGAGUUAUGCUGCCCUCUACAGGUCGUAACAAAGGUAGCAACCGUUUUCCAAGCUGCAACAUGUGCCUGAUUUAAUAAAAUCAAAUACAAACA
Molecule: long non-coding RNA, 1419 nt
Organism: Scophthalmus maximus (turbot)
Lineage: Eukaryota; Metazoa; Chordata; Actinopteri; Pleuronectiformes; Scophthalmidae
Exons: 2
Source: RefSeq, a predicted model, not a curated record